CCUACGGGGAGCAGCAGUGGGGAAUAUUGGACAAUGGGCGAAAGCCUGAUCCAGCCAUGCCGCGUGUGUGAAGAAGGCCUUCGGGUUGUAAAGCACUUUCAGUGGGGAAGAAAGCCUUGGGGCUAAUACCCUCGAGGAAGGACAUCACCCACAGAAGAAGCACCGGCUAACUCCGUGCCAGCAGCCGCGGUAAUACGGAGGGUGCGAGCGUUAAUCGGAAUUACUGGGCGUAAAGCGCGCGUAGGCGGUCUGAUAAGCCGGUUGUGAAAGCCCCGGGCGCAACCUGGGAACGGCAUCCGGAACUGUCAGGCUAGAGUGCAGGAGAGGAAGGUAGAAUUCCCGGUGUAGCGGUGAAAUGCGUAGAGAUCGGGAGGAAUACCAGUGGCGAAGGCGGCCUUCUGGACUGACACUGACGCUGAGGUGCGAAAGCGUGGGUAGCAAACAGGAUUAGAUACCCCUGUAGUC
This 465-nucleotide ribosomal RNA is filed under the name Vreelandella stevensii. RNAcentral describes it as "partial 16S ribosomal RNA". It matches the Rfam family "Bacterial small subunit ribosomal RNA", at positions 338 to 795 of the family's 1533-position model. The record is from RNAcentral. Lineage: Bacteria; Pseudomonadati; Pseudomonadota; Gammaproteobacteria; Oceanospirillales; Halomonadaceae.